ACAAGCGGUGGAUGAUGUGGAUUAAUUCGAUGCAACGCGAAAACCUUACCUACCCUUGACAUGUCUGGAACCUUGGUGAGAGCCGAGGGUGCCUUCGGGAGCCAGAACACAGGUGCUGCAUGGCUGUCGUCAGCUCGUGUCGUGAGAUGUUGGGUUAAGUCCCGCAACGAGCGCAACCCUUGUCACUAGUUGCCAUCAUUUGGUUGGGCACUCUAGUGAGACUGCCGGUGACAAACCGGAGGAAGGUGGGGAUGACGUCAAGUCCUCAUGGCCCUUAUGGGUAGGGCUUCACACGUCAUACAAUGGUCGGUACAGAGGGUUGCCAACCCGCGAGGGGGAGCUAAUCCCACAAAGCCGAUCGUAGUCCGGAUCGCAGUCUGCAACUCGACUGCGUGAAGUCGGAAUCGCUAGUAAUCGUGGAUCAGCAUGUCACGGUGAAUACGUUCCCGGGUCUU
Molecule: ribosomal RNA, 455 nt
Filed under: uncultured Thauera sp.
Lineage: Bacteria; Pseudomonadati; Pseudomonadota; Betaproteobacteria; Rhodocyclales; Zoogloeaceae
Description: bacterial SSU rRNA
Rfam family: Bacterial small subunit ribosomal RNA
Source: RNAcentral